Molecule: long non-coding RNA, 868 nt
Organism: Ornithodoros turicata
Lineage: Eukaryota; Metazoa; Arthropoda; Arachnida; Ixodida; Argasidae
Exons: 3
Source: RefSeq, a predicted model, not a curated record
UCAGCUUCACUUCUCGGAGCAGUAGGGCUCCUCCUCUCUUUCCUUCCUCCAUGCUUCCAAGGCUCGUCUGCUAUGUCUCCGAGGCAGUUCUCGCUAGCAUUUCAGUCAAACCGGCCACUCAUCCAAGGACAUCCGCGUGUACAUCUUACAAUCUGGUUUCCCCUCUGACCGUAGCAGGCAACAGCGUGAAUCAUUCCUAAUCCACAAAUUCCAGUCCAAAGGCCGGAACAGCUGUCCAGUACUGGCAUGGCGACGUUUGACUUACAAACAUAUGCAUACGUGCAGCCAAAGGCCUCCGGAUAUUUUUCCCCUUGUAUACUUCACUGGCUUUGCACUGGGCUUUGAGUGCUCAGGCAAGAUGGCGAUGUCCGAAGCACACCACGUUCCGUCAGUCCUGCAUGUGCACUUCCUUCUACAGGUUUCUCUGUUCCUGAUCUUCCAAAGCGAAAUGUUUCAGUUGUGUCCUCUUCUAUGGGUGUCUUAUAUUUACUCUCAUUACUGGCUUGUACUUACAAAGAUGUAGGCCUUUAUUUGUUCAGUAUAAAAAAUACAGCGUGUAAUUUAUUUAUUUGUUUGUAAUCACUAUUUAGUUGGAGCAUUAGCUUCGUCCCAAAUGCUGACUCCAUCACACGCGCAAAUGCGCUUUGGAUUUUGAGAUAUUCCAGAUGCUCUAGCGAUAAUGCCACAAGCAAGCCUGAAAGAGAAGAAAAGCAGACAAGCAGAUACAAACACAUUCCUGUCGAUGUCCGUCUGUACAAUAAAGAAUGUCCACAGUACAAACGAAACGGAGGCAUGCACUGAGCAGUAAUGAGGAGCACCUGCAAGCACCACGCACUGCUUAAAUAUACACAUACGAGUACUUGUACUU